This 74-nucleotide transfer RNA is filed under the name Parvularcula bermudensis HTCC2503. It matches the Rfam family "tRNA". From Rfam's summary of the family: Transfer RNA (tRNA) molecules are approximately 80 nucleotides in length. Their secondary structure includes four short double-helical elements and three loops (D, anti-codon, and T loops). Lineage: Bacteria; Pseudomonadati; Pseudomonadota; Alphaproteobacteria; Parvularculales; Parvularculaceae. The record is from Rfam by way of RNAcentral.
GCCGCCUUAGCUCAGUCGGUUAGAGCGCUUGAUUGUGGAUCAAGAGGUCCCCCGUUCGAACCGGGGAGGCGGUA